Molecule: ribosomal RNA, 253 nt
Filed under: uncultured bacterium
Lineage: Bacteria
Description: partial 16S ribosomal RNA
Rfam family: Bacterial small subunit ribosomal RNA
Source: RNAcentral
UACGUAGGGUGCAGGCGUUAAUCGGAAUUACUGGGCGUAAAGCGUGCGCAGGCGGUUUGCUAAGACAGGUGUGAAGUCCCCGGGCUUAACCUGGGAACUGCGCUUGUAACUGGCAAGCUUGAGUGUGGCAGAGGGGGGUGGAAUUCCACGUGUAGCAGUGAAAUGCGUAGAGAUGUGGAGGAACACCGAUGGCGAAGGCAGCCCCCUGGGCUAACACUGACGCUCAUGCACGAAAGCGUGGGGAGCAAACAGG